This 938-nucleotide long non-coding RNA is filed under the name Eucalyptus grandis. Its description in RNAcentral is "long non-coding RNA (EGRA_LNC006394)". Lineage: Eukaryota; Viridiplantae; Streptophyta; Magnoliopsida; Myrtales; Myrtaceae. The record is from RNAcentral.
CUGCACAUCUGAAAAUGUAGUUACAUAUCGCUUGUCAUCACCUUGCGACUUCAAAAAAUAAAAUAAAAAUACAGGCAUAAAAUCAGAACCUGGAUACAGACAUUGUCGAGCAGCGUACGAUUUAACUCCAAUUAUUCCUCGCUGAUACCGAUCAUCGAAUGACGUAGGGACAUAAAAGAAACACAGAACAAAAAGAACGAAGAGAAGGUGCAGAUCUAUCUUCGAUGAUAAAGAAACACAACUGAAAUCGGACUUUAGCAAUGACGGAUUCAUGCCUCUACAUCAACGUGGCAAAUCUUUAAGAUAUUCUUCGAUCUGUGUUUUCAAUGGAAUUUUAACAAACAUGUUGUAGACAAACAAUGAAGGAGUGACCGAGAAGCGCCAUGGCCUGGGCAUUAGCGAGCAAAUCCAAACCUCAUCAUCCCACGAUGUCAGUCAUUGUUAUCAGGCAUGCUCGCAUAGAUUCAACUCUAAAUUGAUCAGGAACAUUGUAUUCUAGCUCCUCUUUUCACUGAAACAGGGUAUACUCGGGCAAACACGUACCCGUUGCACCGGAGCCGUUCUGCUACGACCGAAGCUUGGAUUGAUGAAUAAAACCUUCACAGCCGUCUAAGAACAGACCCACCACAGAAUCGAGCGUACUCCGGCACAACAACACAACCGCGGACAAUGGUGAUUCGAAGCGCCUGGAAUGACGAACAACGACUGAUGGCAGUGGUUCGGCAGCAACUCUCAACGUUCGGCUAGCCCACGAUGGCGAGGAAUCCUCCUCUCUUCCUUGCAAGACCUCCUCGUCUUCUCUUCCGUUCGUCCUUCUGCAGCGAAGCUCAGCCUUCUAGAACAGUCGGGCUCGCUCUCGUCACUCUCGCUGUUGAUCUCCUCGCGUCACAGAAGCUAGUUUUCUCUCGGUCAUGGUCGUGUCUUCUUUGCCAUUUUUC